This 4735-nucleotide long non-coding RNA is filed under the name Homo sapiens (human). Its description in RNAcentral is "HSALNT0050382". Lineage: Eukaryota; Metazoa; Chordata; Mammalia; Primates; Hominidae. The record is from RNAcentral.
CUCGAACUCCUGACCUCAAGUGACCCGCCCGCCUUGUCCUCGAAUAGUGCUGGGAUUACAGGUGCGACCCACCACACCCGGCUGCAAUGUUUGUUUUAAUUACUUUUGGCAAGUAUUUCCUGAGUACCCCGAGCGUGCCAGGUGAAGAGAGACGGAUAAUAACAGCGCUAGCCAGCACGUAUUAAGCCUUGCAAAGCUGCACGGGCAUGAACUUGUGGCUUCAACACAACCUUAUGAGGCCCACCACAGCUGCCAAACAUGAGGUGAUGGGACAGCCCUCGUGGCCUCCACCCACCGCCCUGGUGGAGAAGUGAAACAUGAACCCACCAGUGCAAGACAGAGGAAGAGGCACCAGCGAAGUCACACUAGGGAGAAUCCACAUCAGCCUGGCCAUGCAGGGGAGGCCUCACGAAGCCCUGGGAAGCCAGAGGUGAGUCAGAAGGGAUGGUAAGGCGAAUAGCUCUGAAACCGGAACCCUGGCAUAGAGCUGGGGGCAGGAAGGUUCACCGAAGGUAAUGGUGCUUGCUUUAAAAUUCAAGGGGCCCAAGGGAGCAUCAUCUUUCAGGAAGGCACCACUAGUUGAUAAGAGGCCAAGUGUGCCUCAAGCUCCAGGUACCUGAGGUUGCUGCGCUAGCAUGGCCUGUGAAAGAUGCCAAAGGUGGACUUUAUUUUAUAACUCCUCUUCUUAUCCUCCUCCCCAUGACUGGGCACAACCGUAAGGGCCAUAAGAACUUACCCUCUGUGGCCUCUACUUUUGCUUAUAUGAGCAGGGGGAGGUGGAGCGAGACCAGGUGGGCACCUUGAGGGACCCUCAUUUGGCUGAACUGCAGCAACUCAACCUGCCCCAAAGGAAUUCCAGCCCCCUUGCUUCCUAGGGACCCUUGGGAAUACCUCGUAGGCAGCCGAAUCCCAAAGGGAAAAAUGAAGGUCUCCCCAAACCCAGCCCAGGACAAGGGCCAAGCUGGAAAAAAUGACUUGGAGGCCAGUCACCACGUUUUUCCCCAGUGAAAGGCUGACUCAUUGCAACAGGCCUGGGCUGGCUGGGACUUGAGCCGGUGGCUUGGAACAUGCUGGGACAGUGAGCGCCUUGUCUGAAAGGCAGACUGUGAGAAGCCACGGGUCAGGGGAGCUGAGGCCACUGCCCUAAGAAACACCCCUCACACAGCCACGUGAGCCCCAGGGGAAGCAGGGGCCAGGUGGGUGUCCAUGCUGCCUCCCACUCAGACUCUGGAGAGCUAGCGUCACCUUGCUGGAUAAGGUCUAGAGAGGCUCUAAGCCCCAGGGCAAUUAAGCCCUAAGGUCCUGAGACAUGAGCAUUUUGAUCCUUCCUCCCCAUACGAAGUGCAAACUGAAAACACAAAGCUUAAAAUAAAUUUAGAGAAACCCCAAUAAGCCCUUGAUUUUAAUCAUAAGAUGAUCUCCAUGUUUUUCUUUGAAAUAUCAAAAAGAAAUUAUUUUCCAAUUUUGGGGAGAUGGAAGGAAGCUGGGGCUGCUUUCCCAGUGUUUUCAGCACACACUAGGUCUACCUAAUGGGUAAUUCAGCAGUGUGCACAGAGUGGGAAGCUUAUCUCUGACCCUCUUCCCUCCUCAUGCCUCUGUCCAUUUUGACAUCCUGGGCUCUUUCAGCAAGGACUUUUGAGUCAUAUGUUGAGUUAAAUCCUGUCUGUGCCAUCUGCUUGCUGUGUGACCUUGGGUGAGUCACUUAAUCUCACUGAGUCUCAAUUUCUGUAAAUGUAAAAAUGGAGAUUGCACCAGAUAAUGUAUGCAUAGUGCCUAGUACAGUACUUAGCACACAGUCUGAUAUAUAUAUAUAUAUCAGAGAGAUCUCAUACACACAGACAUAUAUAUAUGUGUGUGUGUAUAUAUAUGUGUGUGUGUGUGUGUGUGUGUAUGAGAUCUCUUUCAGCUUUUCCCUCUACAAAGCAUCUUUCAGGAAAUAAUGUUAUGUCAGUUACUUACACUUUAGAGUGAAUAUGUUCCUAUAAAUGUCAUUCUUUCUUUUCAUUUAUUUUUUUAUUUUCUUUUAUUUUUAAAUUAAAUUAAAGUUUUAUUUUGAGAUGGGGCCUCACUCUGUCACCUUGGCUGGAGUACAGUGGCGUGGUCAUGGCUCACUGCAGGCUAAGAUCCUCCCACCUUAGCCUCCUGAGUAGCUGGGACUACAGGUCCGUAUCACCAUGACUGGCUAAUGUUUUAAUUUUUAUUUGUAGAGACAGAGUUUUUGCUAUGUUGCCCAGGCUCCUUUCAUUCAUUUAAUCAGCAAAUGCUUGAGCACCUACCACAUACCUGACUGUAGCUAGAUGCUGUAUAUUCUACAUAAGGAUUUCUUUUCAUCCUCACGGCAAUCUCUACAAGAUCACUAAUAUCCCCAUUUGAUGGAUAAGGAAACAGAUUCAGGAAGGUGAAAGAACUUUCCCAAGGUCACACAGCAGAGUCUAGAUUCACUUGUUCAUUCAGGAAACACUGACUGAAUUUCAGCUUUGUUUCAAGCUAGGCACUGGGAGCGCUGCAGUGAAUGAGUUAGAGCCCCCAUCCCAGGACCCUCACAGCCUAUUGAGUGUCUUUGCACCUGUUUUGAAACUUUUGUCAUCUCUCUAAUUGUUAAGGUCCUUGUUAAAAGCUCCUAUGUGCAUGUGGGUAGGGAGAGCUUUCUCUAGAUCUUCCACUCACCCUUUGAAGGGAGUUGCCUUCUUCCCAGGGUGUAGGGCUGGCCCUGCCCAGGGCUGAGCUGGCAAAACCAAAAAAGCAUCCUGCCUCUCCUUUCCACAUCAUCCCCUGGGACUGCUGGAUACAGAUGUCCAUGACAACCUUGAACUCCAUUCUUGUCCCCCACUCCACUUAUUCUGUUGCACUUCAUGAUCUAUAUUACAGAAAUACCAUGUUCAUUGUAAAAUAAAAAAAAAAGAAAAUAUAGAAAAGCAAAAAUUCUUAAAGGAACAAUAACCAAUAAUUCUAAAUCCUGCUAAGGUGGUUAAAAUUUUAUUGUAUUGCCUGCCAGACCUUUUUCCUCUGUAACUAUAAUACAAUUACUAAAAAAUAAUAACAAUAACACUAAUUUUAGCUAACCCUGACAUGGAGCUUUCUCUGUGCUAGACACUGUUCUAAGCAUCUUAGACAUUGAAACUCAUUUAAUCCUCACAACUCAGUAGGCCAAUUACUAUUGUCCUCAUUUUACAGUUGUUCAAAGUGAGGCAGAGAGAACAUUUAGAAGCACACAUAUUAUUCUUUUUCAAAAAUGGGAUAAGUCUGAACAUACUAUUUUGUGGCCUACUUUUCCUCCCUUUACAACAAAUAAACAAUAAUCAAUUUACUUUCCUAACAUAAUUUUUCAUGACUAUUUAGCAUUCCAGCACUUGCACAUACUGUAAGUUACUCAACCAGUCUCCUUCUCAGCCAUCUUUCUGAUUUCCUUAUUCUCUCCUUCCCUCUGUCCCUCCCUUCUUUCCUCCUUGUUUGUUUUACCUAUGAAUGGCACAGGACGUCCAAUCUUGUAGCUUAGUCUUUGAAAACCUGUUUAAUAACUUCUUGGCUGUGCAUGGUGGCUCGGGCCUAUAAUCCCAGCACUUUGGGAGGCCAAGACAAGAGGAUUGCUUGAGGUCAGGAGCUGGAGACCAGCCUGGUCAACAUAGCAAAACCCUGUCUCUAUUUUUUAUUUAAAAAUUAAUUAAUUUUAAAAAUCGUAUUUAGGAUAACUCCUAGAAGUGGAAUCAUUUGGUCUCAAGAUAUACAUAUUCUAAGCUUUCCGACAUCUCUUGCAAAUGCCUCCAAGACAGGCAACAACGUUGGGUUCUAAAGGAGUAUGACCUGUGUCCCACGGAAUGAUACCCAUCAGAAUGACAGAUGCUCAUGACAUUGACCCAGCAAUUCCAUGUGGGAGUUUACCCCAUAAAUACUGUUAUACGCUUGCAAAAUGACCUGUGUAUAAAAUUACUCAUUGCAACCCUGCUGGUGAUAGCAAAAGAUAAAAAAUAAUCCAGAUGUUCAUAAUAGGGAACUAGUCAAGUAAAUUAUAGGACAUCUAUACAAUGAGAUACGCACAGUUGUGAAAAAGAAUUAAAAGCCUUUCUAUGUAUUCACGUGGACAGCUCCUCAAGACAUACUAAGUGCAGAAGAGUGUGAACAGCAUGCUAUUUUUGUGUGGAAAAAGGGGACAAAUGACAGCCCACAUCCAUAUUUAUAUGCACAUGCCUAAAUAAACUCUAUUUUAAAAAACAUUAUUAUUAUUUUUUGAGACAGGAUCUCACUCUGUCACCCAGGCUGGAGUGCAGUAGCAACGAUCAUGGCUCACUGCAACCUAGGCUCAAACUAUCCUCCCACCUCAGCCUCCUGAGUAGCUGGGGUUACAGGCAUGCACCACCACACCCUCGUAAGUUUUUAAUCGUUUGUGGAGAUGGGAUCUUGCCAUGUUGCCCAGACUGGUCUUGAACUCUUGGGCUCAAGUGAUCCUCCCACCUUGGCCUUCCAAAGUGCUGAGAAUACAGGUAUGAACCAACAUGCCUGGCCAAUAAACUCUAAAGUAGUUAAAAUAGUGCCUACUUGCCUGCUUGUGGGUGAGUUUGGUGAAGGCAUAGAGACCAGGAUGAUGGAUAGGGACAGGGAACAAUUUCUUUUUUCAGAUCACUUUUUUUUUUUUUUCUUUUUUGAGACGGAGUCUUGCUCUCACCCAGGCUGGAGUGUAAUGGCGCGAUCUCGGCUCACUGCAACCUCCUCCUCUCGGGUUCAACUGAUUCUCCUGCCU